UAUGUACAUGUGACCACCCUACAUAUAGUUUGGGUCACAUAUUAAAUUAUUUAUAUAUAUUUCCUUUUUAUUUUUACAUAUGUUCAUUUCUAUUUACAUGUAUAUAUAAGUUUUAUUUUAAUUACUUAAAAUAUAUGAUGAGUUUGCACUGAAUAGUUCAGCUGCAUUUUCUGAACUCUGGGUGGCAGUUGAGAGAGUAGAGUUACCAUGACGACUGCAGCGCAUCCUCAGACAACAAAGAGGACCGUUAAGGAAACAACUAACUCUUGUCUCUCUCUCUCAUUUAAUGUCAAGUGAUUUUGAACCUAGGGACAGCAAAGCACAUUCUUCAGGAAGGGAGCAACGUGUGUGUGAGAGGAUAAGGGGAGCAGGUGACCAGCAUCAUCCUGACCAGGCGCAUCACCACAUAACCAGAUCUACCUGGAAGUGCAUCAUGUCCGACGAAGAAAGAAAGAGACUUGUCUGGAACAUCAAGAAGAAAGUCUACACUUUGAACACAGGUGAACUCUUCCAGCUGGCAAAAGACAUUAACUCAGCAUCAGAUGCAGAUGUUACACAAUUAAAGAAUGGUGAUGAAGAGAGCUACAUUAAUUAUAUUGUCACUUACAUGAACAGCUGUGAAUUGUCUAGGCUACCUGAUCAAGGGAUGACUGUGUUGUUGAAUU
Long non-coding RNA from Cyprinus carpio carpio, 665 nucleotides. Lineage: Eukaryota; Metazoa; Chordata; Actinopteri; Cypriniformes; Cyprinidae. The record is from Ensembl.